RNAcentral lists this long non-coding RNA (1089 nucleotides) under Canis lupus familiaris (dog). RNAcentral describes it as "lncRNA (ENSCAFG00030018658.1)". Lineage: Eukaryota; Metazoa; Chordata; Mammalia; Carnivora; Canidae. The record is from RNAcentral.
AUGCAAUCUGAGCCCCGAGACCGGCCCGGCCCGUCCGCUCGGCAGCUCUUCCCGCGUCACCUCCUCACCCCGUCCUCCCCUGCCCCGUGCGGAGCGCGAAGGUGCUGCGGGCCGGCUCGGGCUGCGCCGGGAGAGGGGGAGGGACGGGGGCUUCCGACUAUCUCUGCGCCCGGCGGCUUUUCCGGGGCUUUUCGAGCACCCCCGGUUCCCAAGGUCGGCGCGGAGAAUGCUUGGGUGCCCUGGAGCACAGCAGGGGCAAGUGUGGGCGAGAGAGACGAGCGAGCGGGAGCGGGAGAAAGAGGCAGCGAGAGGGCGACUCCGCCGCUCGCUCGGAGGUGGGGGCGGGAGGAGCCGAGGGGAGGAGGAGGAGGAGGAGGAGGAGGAGGAGGAGGAGGCUGGCGGGGGCGGUGGGAGGAGUGGGGAGCUGCGGCUCCUGUUGCUCCGUGCGGCGGGCUGGGGCUGCCCGCGACCCGCCGGGCGCUAAUAAGGCGGCCGGAGCCCCCCGGGCGGCCCCUCCCGCCGCGGCGCCCACGUCACGCGGGGCUGGGGCAGGGGCUGGGGCAGGAGCGGGGGCUGGGGCAGGGGCUGCGGCAGGAGUUGGGGCUGGGGCAGGAGCUGGGGCAGGGGCUGGGGCAGGAGCUGGGGCAGGAACUGGGGCAGGGGCUGGGGCAGGAGCUGGGGCAGGGGCUGGGGCAGGAGCUGGGGCAGGGGCUGGGGCAGGAGCUGGGGCAGGGGCUGGGGCAGGAGUUGGGGCAGGGGCUGGGGCAGGAGCUGGGGCAGGGGCUGGGGCAGGAGCUGGGGCAGGGGCUGCGGCAGGAGUUGGGGCUGGGGCAGGGGCUGGAGCUGGGGCUGGGGGCAGGGGCAGGGACUGGGGCAGGAGCUGGGGCUGGGGGCUGGGGCAGGAGCUGGGGCUGGGCUGGGGCAGGAGCUGGGGCUGGGGCAGGGACUGGGGCAGGGGCAGGGACUGGGGCAGGAGCUGGGGAUGGGGCAGGAGCUGGGGCUGGGGGCUGGGGCAGGAGCUGGGGCAGGAGCUGGGGAUGGGGCAGGAGCUGGGGCUGGGGCAGGAGCUGGGGCUGGGGCAGGAGCUGA